GAUGAACGCUGGCGGCGUGCCUAAUACAUGCAAGUCGAGCGAACAGACGAGGAGCUUGCUCCUCUGACGUUAGCGGCGGACGGGUGAGUAACACGUGGAUAACCUACCUAUAAGACUGGGAUAACUUCGGGAAACCGGCGCUAAUACCGGAUAAUAUAUUGAACCGCAUGGUUCAAUAGUGAAAGACGGUUUUGCUGUCACUUAUAGAUGGAUCCGCGCCGCAUUAGCUAGUUGGUAAGGUAACGGCUUACCAAGGCAACGAUGCGUAGCCGACCUGAGAGGGUGGUCGGCCACACUGGAACUGAGACACGGUCCAGACUCCUGCGGGAGGCAGCAGUAGGGAAUCUUCCGCAAUGGGCGAAAGCCUGACGGAGCAACGCCGCGUGAGAGAUGAAGGUCUUCGGAUCGUAAAACUCUGUUAUUAGGGAAGAACAAAUGUGUAAGUAACUAUGCACGUCUUGACGGUACCUAAUCAGAAAGCCACGGCUAACUACGUG
Molecule: ribosomal RNA, 497 nt
Filed under: uncultured bacterium
Lineage: Bacteria
Description: partial 16S ribosomal RNA
Rfam family: Bacterial small subunit ribosomal RNA
Source: RNAcentral